Molecule: transfer RNA, 92 nt
Filed under: Bacillota bacterium
Lineage: Bacteria; Bacillati; Bacillota
Description: tRNA-Ser
Rfam family: tRNA
About the family: Transfer RNA (tRNA) molecules are approximately 80 nucleotides in length.
Source: RNAcentral
GGAGAGGUGCCGGAGUGGUUGAACGGGGCGGUCUCGAAAACCGUUGUGGGUCUUACGGCCCACCGUGGGUUCGAAUCCCACCCUCUCCGCCA